Molecule: unclassified non-coding RNA, 21 nt
Filed under: Mus musculus (house mouse)
Lineage: Eukaryota; Metazoa; Chordata; Mammalia; Rodentia; Muridae
Description: oocyte_clustered_small_RNA11530
Source: RNAcentral
AUAAUCAGGGCCAAUAGGCAG